RNAcentral lists this ribosomal RNA (270 nucleotides) under uncultured Eubacteriales bacterium. RNAcentral describes it as "uncultured Clostridiales bacterium partial 16S ribosomal RNA". It matches the Rfam family "Bacterial small subunit ribosomal RNA", at positions 68 to 339 of the family's 1533-position model. Lineage: Bacteria; Bacillati; Bacillota; Clostridia; Eubacteriales. RNAcentral also lists the same sequence under 1 other name. The record is from RNAcentral.
UAGAUUGAUUCAUUUGAGGUGACUGAGUGGCGGACGGGUGAGUAACGCGUGGGUAACCUGCCUCAUAGAGGGGGACAACAGUUGGAAACGACUGCUAAUACCGCAUAGUAAGAAGAAUUCGCAUGUUUUCUUCUUGAAAGAUUUAUCGCUAUGAGAUGGACCCGCGUCUGAUUAGCUAGUUGGUAAGGUAACGGCUUACCAAGGCGACGAUCAGUAGCCGGCUUGAGAGAGUGAACGGCCACAUUGGGACUGAGACACGGCCCAAACUCC